This 206-nucleotide unclassified non-coding RNA is filed under the name plant metagenome. RNAcentral describes it as "partial contains small subunit ribosomal RNA, internal transcribed spacer 1, and 5.8S ribosomal RNA". The record is from RNAcentral.
UUUCCGUAGGUGAACCUGCGGAAGGAUCAUUCAUAAUAUGUGUUUUACUGCACUUUUUAAAAAUAGUACUCACCUUGUGUGCAAUGUUGUGUUUCUUUUCGGAGAAACACCUACACCAACCUAUAACCUUGAACCACUUUGUCUGAAAAACUAUUAUGAAUACUUAAUUCAAAAUAUAACUUUCAACAACGGAUCUCUUGGCUCUC